UAUAUCAAACAGCAGUAGUGAUG
Molecule: non-coding RNA, 23 nt
Filed under: Cricetulus griseus (Chinese hamster)
Lineage: Eukaryota; Metazoa; Chordata; Mammalia; Rodentia; Cricetidae
Source: RNAcentral